Long non-coding RNA from Medicago truncatula (barrel medic), 339 nucleotides. RefSeq lists it as uncharacterized. The record is from RefSeq and is a predicted model, not a curated record. The transcript is spliced from 2 exons. NCBI's taxonomy places the organism in Eukaryota, Viridiplantae, Streptophyta, Magnoliopsida, Fabales, Fabaceae.
AAUUAUAAAUAGAUAAAAUCUUUGAUACAUGCAAAGUGGAGGAAAUAUGACUAAUAUUAUCAAAUUUGUUAAGGUUAUGAUUUACUUUCUUUCUAUAUUUCUUAUUUCAACGUACUUUAAAGUAAAAUUGAGUUGUUUUGAGGAUUCUGAUUGCCCAUAUGAUAUGUGUUAUGCUGGUUUUCAACCAAAGUGUGUGAAUGGUUGGUGUGACUGUUAGAGAAUUCAGCCAUGAAUUCAAUGAGUAGCAACUUAAGAGAGUACACACUGCCAUGAACGUUGUAUUUUUGAUGAUGGUAAUGAAAUGAGAUGAAAUAAAAAAACAAAAUAAAUUUUUCUUGA